UACGGAGGGUGCAAGCGUUAUCCGGAUUUACUGGGUUUAAAGGGUGCGUAGGUGGGUCUGUAAGUCAGUGGUGAAAUCUCCGGGCUUAACUCGGAAACUGCCAUUGAUACUAUAGGUCUUGAAUUAUCUGGAGGUGAGCGGAAUAUGUCAUGUAGCGGUGAAAUGCUUAGAUAUGACAUAGAACACCAAUUGCGAAGGCAGCUCACUACGGAUAUAUUGACACUGAGGCACGAAAGCGUGGGGAGCAAACAGG
This 253-nucleotide ribosomal RNA is filed under the name uncultured bacterium. RNAcentral describes it as "partial 16S ribosomal RNA". It matches the Rfam family "Bacterial small subunit ribosomal RNA", at positions 524 to 776 of the family's 1533-position model. The record is from RNAcentral.